GGCUAACUCCGUGCCAGCAGCCGCGGUAAUACGGGAGGGUGCGAGCGUUAAUCGGAAUUUACUGGGCGUAAAGCGCAUGCAGGCGGCCUGUUAAGUCAGAUGUGAAAGCCCGGGGCUUAAACCUCGGAAUUGCAUUUUGAAACUGGCAGGCUAGAGUCUUGUAGAGGGGGGUAGGAAUUUCAGGUGUAGCGGUGAAAUGCGUAGAGAUCUGAAGGAAUACCAGUGGCGAAGGCGGCCCCCUGGACAAAGACUGACGCUCAGAUGCGAAAGCGUGGGGAGCAAACAGGAUUAGAUACCCCUGGUAG
This 305-nucleotide ribosomal RNA is filed under the name uncultured bacterium. RNAcentral's name for it is "bacterial SSU rRNA". It matches the Rfam family "Bacterial small subunit ribosomal RNA", at positions 495 to 793 of the family's 1533-position model. The record is from RNAcentral.